AUUCUCAGUCUUUGUGGAUAACCAGAUCCAUUAGAGAAUCUGUAGUACUUAUAGUCUGUGUAAGAAUUCAAAAGCAUGGAAUGGAGACAUUUAAAAGUAUGGUUGACCAUUACAGGUUCAGCUGUAUAAACUAAAACUAGGAAUGAUGAAGAAGAAGAAGAAAGGAAGCAGGAAUCCAUGUUCCUUAGUGGACACAGAAGUGAAGAGCAGCCAGCUAAAUUAACCUGGAUUGAUGAAUAUUAUACUGGAUGACUAUUGUGAAACACCAAGGAAAACACUCC
Long non-coding RNA from Herpailurus yagouaroundi (jaguarundi), 281 nucleotides. RefSeq lists it as uncharacterized. The record is from RefSeq and is a predicted model, not a curated record. The transcript has 3 exons. NCBI's taxonomy places the organism in Eukaryota, Metazoa, Chordata, Mammalia, Carnivora, Felidae.